RNAcentral lists this ribosomal RNA (447 nucleotides) under uncultured bacterium. Its description in RNAcentral is "bacterial SSU rRNA". It matches the Rfam family "Bacterial small subunit ribosomal RNA", at positions 330 to 794 of the family's 1533-position model. The record is from RNAcentral.
UCCAGACUCCUACGGGAGGCAGCAGUGGGGAAUAUUGCACAAUGGGGGAAACCCUGAUGCAGCGACGCCGCGUGAGUGAAGAAGUAAUUCGUUAUGUAAAGCUCUAUCAGCAGGGAAGAAAAUGACGGUACCUGAGUAAGAAGCCCCGGCUAACUACGUGCCAGCAGCCGCGGUAAUACGUAGGGGGCAAGCGUUAUCCGGAUUUACUGGGUGUAAAGGGAGCGUAGACGGCAGAGCAAGUCUGAAGUGAAAGCCCGCGGCCCAACCGCGGGACUGCAUUGGGAACUACCGGGCUGGAGUGCCGGAGAGGUAAGCGGAAUUCCUAGUGUAGCGGUGAAAUGCGUAGAUAUUAGGAGGAACACCAGUGGCGAAGGCGGCUUACUGGACGACUACUGACGCUGAGGCUCGAAAGCGUGGGGAGCAAACAGGAUUAGAUACCCCGGUAAU